CAGAUCCAGUAUGGUGGCAGGAAGAUCCCAAACCACGAAGAUUUUGUCACUGUCCAAAUAUUUAUGGGCCUAACUUUCAUCCUGGUCAGAGUCAUGGAUGCAGGACAGGAAUCACCAGUUCAUUGCAAGUGUUUUAUCAUUGCUGGUGGGAGUGAGCGCUCGUGCUAAAUCCAGCAGAGGGCUGUGCAGCAGAGAAUGAGAGUGAAAAGUGAGAGAGAGAGAGAGAGAGAGAGAGAGAGAGAGAGAGAGAGAGAGA
Long non-coding RNA from Astyanax mexicanus (Mexican tetra), 256 nucleotides. RefSeq lists it as uncharacterized. The transcript is spliced from 3 exons. The record is from RefSeq and is a predicted model, not a curated record. NCBI's taxonomy places the organism in Eukaryota, Metazoa, Chordata, Actinopteri, Characiformes, Acestrorhamphidae.